Molecule: long non-coding RNA, 2832 nt
Filed under: Triticum aestivum (bread wheat)
Lineage: Eukaryota; Viridiplantae; Streptophyta; Magnoliopsida; Poales; Poaceae
Description: long non-coding RNA (TAES_LNC025061)
Source: RNAcentral
UGGAAAAUCACUUAUCAGGUAUGUUCAGUUCAGACCACACUAAAAUGGCCAAAUUAAAGAUAAAUAUUUGCAUUGUCCUAAAUUCUUCCACUCUCUGGAAACAAAGUCGCAGAAUGCAUGUGAACAGAGUAUACUUCCAUGGUUUUGCAAGUAAUCAUACAAUAAGUGCACUGUUCACUAUGUAUUUUAUCAUCAGUUAAAAAAUAAUCAUAGAAAAAGUUCAAUUUGUGUUAUUGAAACAGCUCAAUUUAUCAGUAUUGUGGAGAUCAUGCAUGAGUAGUAUUUAUGUUCUCAAGAUAUGAGAGAGUGGGAUGUUUGCAUGAUUGUGGCUGGUUGGAGUGUAUGGUCUUUGUGGAGAUCAUGCAUGUUAUUUGCUUAUGACACGAUGUAUAUAUAUACUGCUAGAAGUUCUAGUACCUAUAUUACUACAAUUCGCUAAUAAAAAUGUAUCAGUUCAUUGUCUAGCACAUGGUUAACACAUAUAAUUACAAAAUAGUUACUUGAACUAUACAAGAGUUCAACUUUUACUUGAUUUUCAGUUCAAAUUUUGUGUUAUUUUUAGUACAUCAACUUUAAUGUGCAGAACAUCGAGGAAAUCCUGAAAAAUUAUAUGUACACUCUAUGUAUUUUCUUAUGCUUACAAGAAUUCUGCACUCAUACUGUUAUGCAUCAGUUUAGGUCGCCCGUGGAGUUUUAGAUAUAUGCAAAAUCGUAUUAGAUCACCAUGCUCUCACCCAAAGGUUUGAAAAACCAUUGCUUUCAGUUCUGGUAACAUAUGUUUUUGUUUCAGUUUUGCUAAUUCUUUCUCCAAUGGGCCUUUAUAUAUUAUCUUUCACUUGUCUUACUAUAUGAAAAAUAUGUGGCCUUUAGCGAGCAAUCUGGCUCAGUUUUCUGGUUAAAAAACAGACAACAUGGAUUUACCAUGUUCUAUUAAAAGAAAGCUGGAGUUCAAAUUCUAAUUUUAGUUCAGUGAAGAUCAAUGGGAAAAUGCACAAGAAGUUCAGACUCUUGUUUCCUAAAGUGUUUGUUUUGGUAUGUCUAGCCCAAACAAUCAUCAAUUUUUUUAAAAAAAUUCUCUGUUGUCAAAUAAAAGCUACACUAAUUAUUAUGGACAUGCUCAUUACAAACUUUUGUAAUGGUGCAGUACACCUAUUUAAUUUUUUUAUAUAUUUACAAAACAGAAAUUAUAAUUCUCAGAAACCUACAAAAAAAGCAUCAAUUUAUAUUGAUAGUUGUUCUAGUCCUUAUGUUACAACAGUGCAAUGAAAAAAUCUCAUCAGUUCAACAACAUGGACAUGCUAAUGCUGUAGCGAGUCCAUGCUAAUGCUGUAGUGAUCUCGUGCUCGGCCACAAGGAUGUCGGCUGCAAUGAUGCCAAAGUGACGAGCUAUCUACAUUCUGCCUGGCUGUUGUCCAUCUAUAUCUGUGUCCGUGGUGCGUCGCCAGCGGCAUCAUCCCUGACCAGGGCACCAUGCUGAGGCACUUGCUACUACUAACGCACACUGCAUUUGACGCAUAAAGAUGGAAAAUGCAGGAAGUCGCAUGUUUAUGUGGAGCUAAUGCACACCAUUUUUUUGCUGAAAAUACCGCGGUUAAAAUGAAGGUAAGCUUGUGCGUGUAUUUGUCUGAGGUGGUUGGUUCUAGAAAGGGAGAUUCACACAAGUAGGUUUAAAGAUAUUAUUUAUUAAAAAGUUGUAGCUCUUUUCUUGGUUUAUGGUCAGCUCAUGCAUCGAGUUUCCAUCCAAUCCAUGGGAUGACCUCUACCUGCACGUACUUGCUGCUAAAAUGUUGUGUCGUUAAACUUGUUAUGAAGCCACUGUUAUUCUUCAGCUGCGACCUACAGGAGUUUCUUCAUCUGCGCUUCAACAAAAAAGAACAGCAGCAGUCCAUGCAUCUGCCGUAUCUCUUUCCUCUCUACUGCUCUUUUCUCUUACUAAUUUGUUUCUCUUUGAACUGCAGCAUGGGGGAGGUUGGACUACAGACAACCCCCGCCGCCCCAUGCAUUACUUCCUCCGGUCCCUGUCCAGGUAUGGGGUUCACACCAGUCCAACUCUUUCUCCCUUCUCCGUCCAGUUGUUGUAUGCUACUCCAAAUGCCAAUGAUCAUGCAAAACAGUUGUUGCUAGAGUCUACAUGAUUUGUAGUGUAGAUGCCAUAGUUUCACCCUAUUUUUCUGGUUCUAAUUAUUGCUGCAUAACUCUUUAAAAGAAUGUUUUGUGAAUGUUUGUGAUCAUGGCUUGUAGGUAUUCAUGUGAACUUUAAAAUAAUGAUUGUUCUUGUAGGAGGUUCAAAGAUUGUCGUGGAGCAAGUUUAAGAGAUUAGUUUCGUGAAAAUAAUGUGAUCUUUUGGUCAGGAUUUUGCAUGAUCCAUAGCCAUCAAUGGCAACAGGCGAGCAGUUCAAGGCCUCCUACGUGAGCUUGUUGUCUCAACACAUCUAUCAUCGGAGUAUCUGCAUCCCCUUGCCGCACACACAUGCCCGGCGGUCGAGAUAUUGUUGUUUGUGAUUACUGGUCGUGACUCUUACGUUGUCAUUGGUUGUCAUUGGACAAAGAAUUUGUUUUGUAACUCUGUAUUGGCAGGACCCUCAGUAAAUAUAUGUUCUUAGUAUUCUGAUCUUUAGGCCAAAAUGGUGAAACUUUAAACAUGAGUCUGAAUUAAUAAAACUGAGAAGUUCUACUAUCAGUAAACGGGUGGACCUAGGUGCAACAAAGCUCUGCCAUUAGCCGUGGUGAUUAUCAGUUCACGUGUAUUGUGUUCUUUUUGUUAGUCAGAUUGUGUGCAAGUUUGUUACCGGUUCAUGUGUAUGUGUUGGUAAUCACUGCUGUUGCUGCUAG